This 277-nucleotide long non-coding RNA is filed under the name Capsicum annuum. RNAcentral's name for it is "long non-coding RNA (CANN_LNC004439)". Lineage: Eukaryota; Viridiplantae; Streptophyta; Magnoliopsida; Solanales; Solanaceae. The record is from RNAcentral.
UCGAUGACUGCGCAGAUAUCCGUAUAGAAACUUGAAAUUGUAAAUAUUGCUUCUAAUCAACGGUCUUUGCGUUUAUGGAAUAGAGAAAUGAACUUGGAGUCGCCUCUGUUAUUGUAAUGUACUUCUAAAGAGUUUUUAAAUAAUGUUAUUGAUUUAAAACUUUUUAACAAUGGAGGAAAGUGUGUUUGACAAGAUAACAAACUAAUGGAAUAAAAUGGAUGCAAUGGACGAGCUUAUGAGGUUUGUGGAAUGAUUUAGAGCUGAUCUCCGAAAAAUA